This 250-nucleotide ribosomal RNA is filed under the name uncultured prokaryote. RNAcentral describes it as "partial 16S ribosomal RNA". It matches the Rfam family "Bacterial small subunit ribosomal RNA", at positions 524 to 773 of the family's 1533-position model. The record is from RNAcentral.
UACGAAGGGUGCAAGCGUUGUUCGGAUUUACUGGGCGUAAAGCGUCCGUAGGUGGUUUGUUAAGUCAGAGGUGAAAUCCCAGGGCCUAACCCUGGAACUGCCUUUGAUACUGGCAGGCUGGAGCGUAAUAGAGGAAGAUGGAACAUCUGGUGUAGGGGUGAAAUCCGUAGAUAUCAGAUAGAACACCAAUGGCGAAGGCAGUCUUCUGGAUCAUCGCUGACACUGAGGGACGAAAGCGUGGGUAGCAAAC